AGUGAACGCUGGCGGUAGGCCUAACACAUGCAAGUCGAACGGCAGCACAGUAAGAUCUUGCUCUUACGGGUGGCGAGUGGCGGACGGGUGAGGAAUACAUCGGAAUCUACUUUUUCGUGGGUGAUAACGUAGGGAAACUUACGCUACUACCGCAUACGACCUACGGGUGAAAGCAGGGGAUCUUCGGACCUUUCGCGAUUGAAUGAGCCGAUGUCGGAUUAGCUAGUUGGCGGGGUAAAGGCCCACCAAGGCGACGAUCCGUAGCUGGUCUGAGAGGAUGAUCAGCCACACUGGAACUGAGACACGGUCCAGACUCCUACGGGAGGCAGCAGUGGGGAAUAUUGGACAAUGGGCGCAAGCCUGAUCCAGCCAUACCGCGUGGGUGAAGAAGGCCUUCGGGUUGUAAAGCCCUUUUGUUGGGAAAGAAAAGCGGCAGGUUAAUACCCCGCUGUUCUGACGGUACCCAAAGAAUAAGCACCGGCUAACUUCGUG
Molecule: ribosomal RNA, 492 nt
Filed under: uncultured bacterium
Lineage: Bacteria
Description: partial 16S ribosomal RNA
Rfam family: Bacterial small subunit ribosomal RNA
Source: RNAcentral